Serinus canaria (Common canary) is the source of this 198-nucleotide long non-coding RNA. RefSeq lists it as uncharacterized. Lineage: Eukaryota; Metazoa; Chordata; Aves; Passeriformes; Fringillidae. The record is from RefSeq and is a predicted model, not a curated record. The transcript has 3 exons.
CAGGUGAGCUCAGGUGGGCACAGGUGGGCACAGGUGGGCUCAGGUGAGCUCAGGUGAGCUCAGGUGGGCUCAGGUGGGCUCAGGUGAGCUCAGGUGGGCUCAGGUGAGCUCAGGUGGGCACAGGUGGGCACAGGAGAGCUCAGGUGAGCUCAGGUGUGCUCAGGUGAGCUCAGGUGAGCUCAGGUGAGCUCAGGUGGG